Molecule: long non-coding RNA, 911 nt
Organism: Rhincodon typus (whale shark)
Lineage: Eukaryota; Metazoa; Chordata; Chondrichthyes; Orectolobiformes; Rhincodontidae
Exons: 3
Source: RefSeq, a predicted model, not a curated record
CGUAUCCCAGGACUCAACUGCUGGCCAGCCUGUGCUCGCUCUGCUCCUGCUCCAGCCACAACUCGCUUCCGGGACUCGGUCCGCCCUCAGUCUGCUCCCCGCUUCGGUCUCCAUCCGUGCCUCACCUCCCCUGCUGGGCUGGUCUUGGAUUUUGUUCUCCAUUCCCUCUGGACAAUAGAAGACUGUUAGCUAUCCAGCUGCACCAGCAUCAGGAGAAAGAUCAAGCAGCCACCAACUCAGAAAUAGGCACAACAUGGAUUUUAAAGAUUAUUUUAGAGAUGGGAUAAACAUGUGGAAUCUAACAGUUCCAUGAUCUUCCAAGCUAGAGCUACCAACGGAUCACAGGCCUGUUCAGAACCAGGGAAGUGACCUCAACCAGCAGAUCCAAGAACUGACAAACUUCAAAAACCAAAUGACCUGACUGACACCACAAGGCCUAGGUACAUCCUGAGGUGAAAAAUCGGGUCUACUAAACCAGCAGAAAGAAAACCAAAUACUUACCCGAUAGAUCCAUGCUGCACCUCACCGCAUCAGCGGACUCAACCCAAACUGAAAAGUCUUUGCAGUCUGAAAUCGUCAUCCAGGCCCCAAGUACAGCAAGUGGAAACAGCCAGGAAUAUUUGAAAACCACAUAUUCCUCAGUGGUGAGCUAAAACUCCCAAGACCCAAAGUUCCGACCUAGCUAGCAGGGUGAAGAGGCGGGUGGUGACAGUGCAUUGGGACACCAAGGGUAGGAAGCAUGAUUAAAGUUUCUGUAAUUAAAACCAUUGUUUUUAAGUUCUAAUAGUGUUUAAUCUAGCGAAUAGUAUAUUUAAUAGCAUUCUUGUUCUCUGUAUAGUUGAUUGUGUCAAUUUCCCUGUUGAUUGCAUUUACCUAUAUUUCUUGUAUCAUACAUACCUUUUGUAUUUUAA